This 374-nucleotide long non-coding RNA is filed under the name Lingula anatina. RNAcentral describes it as "uncharacterized LOC106155565". The record is from RNAcentral. Lineage: Eukaryota; Metazoa; Brachiopoda; Lingulata; Lingulida; Lingulidae.
CUCAUCCAGAUAACCUGACUGUAGGCUGUUCGCCAUUAAACUCUCAACGUCCGAACAUGGCUGAAGGUUUGUCUACAGCGUACAGGAACACGACAUUCUGUGAUUGGCUUUACCUGAGCGUUGGUCAGACACAGAUGAAGUUUUGAACCUAGAAUACAGAAUCGGUACCCUGGGUCGACCGAGAGCCUCUGAGCCAUUGAUUUUACAGCUGCAUGCAUUUAAGUGGCCCUAGUAGGAGUCGUAGCAGCAGCAGCAGCGCGAGCAGCUCCAGUCUGCGCCGCCAUCGUCUCUCCAUCGCCGAGGAGCUGCUACGGGAAGAGGAGGAGGAGGAGCAAGCCUCGAGGACUGCCAAGCUCAGCGUGUGGACUCCAACA